Molecule: long non-coding RNA, 2831 nt
Filed under: Anas platyrhynchos platyrhynchos (common mallard)
Lineage: Eukaryota; Metazoa; Chordata; Aves; Anseriformes; Anatidae
Description: lncRNA (ENSAPLG00000025226.1)
Source: RNAcentral
CUUUACCUUCAACCUGUUCAAAGUUCCCUACAGCAAAUUCUCCAGGAAGCUGCCAGUUUUGGCAUGGCCCCGUAAUCUGUUCCCUUGAAAACUGUGAGGGCCUUGUGAGGCAGAGGCACGGCCCGGGGCAAACAGCCGUAUUGUGUCUGUGGGACUCCUGCAGAGAUAAAGCUGUCCCUCCAGCUCAGAUCUGGGGAGAUGUCCCCAACCUUCUGUGCGGGUAAGCGGCGUGGAUAAGCAGUGUACUUGGCCAGAAAGUCUCUGCGUGACCUCAUGUGUGUGUCUGGAGAAUGUCAGGACCGCUCGCCGGAGAUAAGGAAGAAGAGUCGGCCCCAGACAGGGAAGAUGUGGAAGGAAGGGUGGGCAACACUGCCUCUGCAUGAUGGAUCUUAGGGAAAGUAAAUUUGUCGUACGCUUAUUCACAUCCAACUGCUUAAGGCUAGGCAUUUUUGUCUCUCUGAGCUCUGCCCUAGGGGUGCUGGUGUGCGAAGAAGUGAAACCAAGUGAAGGGGACUCGGUUUUUAAAAGGAGUGAUGUGCCUUUCCUGAGGUGGCAUAAACCUAGGAAAUCUGUGAGCUCUGACAAAAAUUAGCUUAAACAUGACCGUAGCAUGCUGCCAGCCCAGUGCUUUCAUCAGCCUGGGUGAGGCCUAAGCCAGCAGCAAGCUGCGAGCCACCAGCUUCAUCAGGGGUGCUUUGGUGAGAGGGUCUGCUGUGUGAGCAAUGUCUGCUUUUGGUCUCACACAGGAAUGGACCAGUAUAGCUUCAUACACCCUAUAUAAAGUGAACAUCUUCAGCAGGUGCAUGCAUCAGGCCUCUGCCUGCACUUAAUGGCCCUGAGCAACCUCACCUGAGGCCUCACCCACGCCCUGCCCAUGGUCCCUGGGCCCUAUUUAAGCUCAUCCCAGGGCCUCCAUUUCUGUUUGAGCUCCUGGGCUGUUGGUCUUUGGCCUUGCUGCUGCCUCCUUGGGCCUGUGCUGGAGUUGGAUCUAUUCUGGAGGGCCCCUUGUGAAAGCAAACAGUGCCUUUUCCUCAGGAGCUGGAGGAUGAAUUGCUUGGAUCAAGGUGGAGUUCCUCAGACUGCCAGGAUGGUGCUAGCCCUUCUGCUUCUGGAAUAGCAACUCUUCAUCUGUGUAUUCAGCUGAAACACAUAAGCAUGCACCAAAGAAACUGAUCCUCCUCUUCUCUAGUGAAGUAUCUGAGUCACGGCUGUCACUGCAGAAAAUGUAUAGCAAUAUUUGGGGGAAAGGAAAACACAUUAAGGCUGAGGAGUGCAUCUGGAUUCUUUAAGCAUUCCCCCGGCUGUAUCUACACUUUGGAGCUGAUGGUAUCAAGGGAACCAGUAACAACAUGGUAAUCUCCAGCAAAACACAGCUUGCACUUUAACUGUGUCCAGAGACUACUGUGCAAGCAAGCACCUUUGUGUGCCUCAAUUUCACAGCCUGGGUGAGACUUCCACAGGGGGGUGGUCGGGCCCAGCUUGCCAGGCGCUGAGCUCCUCUGUGCUGGAGCUGCUCUGCUCCGGGUGGGGACAGAUCCCAUUAAAUCAGAGCUGUGAGUGGUGAAGGACCCAUCAUGGUAUGGUGUGAGCGAGGCCACAGACUGGAAUGAGCUUAUUACUGUCUGAAGCUCUGACAAGUAUAUUGCUGCAGCUUUCAGAUGUUCUGCAGUCAUAAUACCGAUUGCUGUGAGGUGAGCUGAAUUUCUGAUGUGAGCACCAGUAUAAUUGCCAAGGAUCUGCAUGGUACCAUGGCCCUCAAUAGUUCAGCUUCCUUAUCUGCCCAGACUGGGAGCAGAGAAGCUGAACACUCAGCUAGCAGCUCCUGGUGCUUGCUCUGUGCUGAGGCUUUUUAAUUGUCAAAGGAAUCUAGGUAUCUCAGUUAUUCAGCCAGGAUCUUGAGUUUCUUUCAGCACUGCUAAUUUCACUAAUUUCUUAAGUUUCAGUGUACUUAGGAAAAGAGCUGAAGCGGGCAGGGAUUGUGCAGCAGAGAGCAGUCACAAGUUGUGCCCCAUAUCUCAAACCAGGUGUGGUUUUGUAGAUUCAAAGGGGGAAAUGAAACUUUUGCCUUGGAUUCAGUGAGCUGUGCUGUUGGUUCAGCUGCUGGCAGCGUGCUCUUGGUGUAGCCAGCACCACUGUCACCCAUUUGUCAUCAGACUGAAUCACCCAGGGAAGGUUUGGUGGUGAGACAAUGGAACAAAGUCAGCUCUGGUGUUUGAUGUUCCUGGGGGGGGGAAAUGAAGAAAGGACUUUCUCUGAGUUUUUAUCCAAACUGAUGGUUUAGCUAUGAUCUGGAGAGCGCUGAGGUGGGCAGGAAGAAUGGGAAUGCAGUUUGAAGAUGAAAUUCGUGUUUAGGCUGCUCCCAGGUGUACUAUAAAUAUUACUCCAAAGUCCAGUUACAGAAACCUCUGAAUUGUCUGGCAUCUCUUGAAAUCUGAAUAUUGCCUCCCCUAAAACUAUGACUAGACAACAGAAACAACAUAGAUAAAUGUCAUCUGUGUUUUUUAUCACUGCUGUCAAUUAGAGCCUAGCAUAACUCAGAAAUGUCAGUGUUAAUUCUGAGUUAUUGUAUCUGACUGUCCCCAAGAGACCAAGGUUUCUGAAAAUUGGAAAAACCUCUCCCACUUGAGAGUUAAACGAGGGAAUGGUUUUACUGGUAGCUUCACAGCACUUGCUUAAUGAUAUGAGCUCGGUGUAUCCACACAGCUAUUUCAUUGCUAAUAUUUUGUAAGGUGUUCAUUUAAUUUCUGUAUGUCUGCUUUUAGAUAGAUACAAGAAAUUGACUAUUUUGGUGUCUUUGUAUGUGUAGAUUAAUAAAAUCUGACUUUUAACCA